CCUACGGGUGGCAGCAGUGGGGAAUUUUCCGCAAUGGGCGAAAGCCUGACGGAGCAACGCCGCGUGAGGGAGGAAGGUCUUUGGAUUGUAAACCUCUUUUCUCAAGGAAGAAGUUCUGACGGUACUUGAGGAAUCAGCCUCGGCUAACUCCGUGCCAGCAGCCGCGGUAAUACGGGGGAGGCAAGCGUUAUCCGGAAUUAUUGGGCGUAAAGCGUCCGCAGGUGGUCAGCCAAGUCUGCCGUCAAAUCAGGUUGCUUAACGACCUAAAGGCGGUGGAAACUGGCAGACUAGAGAGCAGUAGGGGUAGCAGGAAUUCCCAGUGUAGCGGUGAAAUGCGUAGAGAUUGGGAAGAACAUCGGUGGCGAAAGCGUGCUACUGGGCUGUAUCUGACACUCAGGGACGAAAGCUAGGGGAGCGAAAGGGAUUAGAUACCCUUGUAGUC
This 442-nucleotide ribosomal RNA is filed under the name uncultured bacterium. Its description in RNAcentral is "bacterial SSU rRNA". It matches the Rfam family "Bacterial small subunit ribosomal RNA", at positions 338 to 795 of the family's 1533-position model. The record is from RNAcentral.